ACUCUUUAGUCUGAGAGCCAUACAGGAUUGUUAGUACCUUAGAGCACACUGGACUUUCAGUAAAAGCAUCCUCUAGGAAGCUGAGGCGUGAUGGCUGAAGCUCCAGCAAUUUAUGUGCAAUUUUCCUCCGACAGUUCCUGUUGGUACAGGAAUAAAGACCAGGCAGUGUCCUUAUCUAUUUGUAAUAGUAAGAGAAGCUCCGCAGUCACACUUGGGAUAUUGUUUAACAGAUGACGUGCUUUCUUUUGCACACUACUGCUGCCAAU
Non-coding RNA from Sorex fumeus (smoky shrew), 266 nucleotides. The record is from RefSeq and is a predicted model, not a curated record. NCBI's taxonomy places the organism in Eukaryota, Metazoa, Chordata, Mammalia, Eulipotyphla, Soricidae.